RNAcentral lists this ribosomal RNA (465 nucleotides) under uncultured Klebsiella sp. RNAcentral's name for it is "bacterial SSU rRNA". It matches the Rfam family "Bacterial small subunit ribosomal RNA", at positions 338 to 795 of the family's 1533-position model. Lineage: Bacteria; Pseudomonadati; Pseudomonadota; Gammaproteobacteria; Enterobacterales; Enterobacteriaceae. The record is from RNAcentral.
CCUACGGGGGGCUGCAGUGGGGAAUAUUGCACAAUGGGCGCAAGCCUGAUGCAGCCAUGCCGCGUGUGUGAAGAAGGCCUUCGGGUUGUAAAGCACUUUCAGCGGGGAGGAAGGCGGUGAGGUUAAUAACCUCAUCGAUUGACGUUACCCGCAGGAGAAGCACCGGCUAACUCCGUGCCAGCAGCCGCGGUAAUGCGGAGGGUGCAAGCGUUAAUCGGAAUUACUGGGCGUAAAGCGCACGCAGGCGGUCUGUCAAGUCGGAUGUGAAAUCCCCGGGCUCAACCUGGGAACUGCAUUCGAAACUGGCAGGCUAGAGUCUUGUAGAGGGGGGUAGAAUUCCAGGUGUAGCGGUGAAAUGCGUAGAGAUCUGGAGGAAUACCGGUGGCGAAGGCGGCCCCCUGGACAAAGACUGACGCUCAGGUGCGAAAGCGUGGGGAGCAAACAGGAUUAGAUACCCCAGUAGUC